This 1044-nucleotide ribosomal RNA is filed under the name uncultured archaeon. Its description in RNAcentral is "bacterial SSU rRNA". It matches the Rfam family "Archaeal small subunit ribosomal RNA", at positions 1 to 1054 of the family's 1478-position model. The record is from RNAcentral.
UCUGUUUGAUCCUGGCAGAGGUCACUGCUAUCGGGGUUCGAUUAAGCCAUGCGAGUCGAGAGGGUUCAGACCCUCGGCGGACUGCUCAGUAACACGUGGAUAAUCUGCCCUAUGGUGGAGGAUAACCCCGGGAAACUGGGGAUAAUACUCCAUAAGUCAGGAGUACUGGAAUGUCUCCUAACUGAAAGUUGCGGCGCCAUAGGAUGAAUCUGCGGCCGAUUAGGUAGUUGUUGGGGUAACGGCCCAACAAGCCUGUAAUCGGUACGGGUUGUGGGAGCAAGAGCCCGGAGAUGGAAUCUGAGACACGAUUCCAGGCCCUACGGGGCGCAGCAGGCGCGAAAACUUUACAAUGCAGGAAACUGUGAUAAGGGAACCCCGAGUGCCCGUAAACGCGGGCUGUCCCGGUGUUUAAAACACAUCGGAAGAAAGGGCCGGGCAAGACCGGUGCCAGCCGCCGCGGUAAUACCGGCGGCUCGAGUGGUGACCACUUUUAUUGGGCUUAAAGCGUUCGUAGCUUGAUUUUUAAGUCUCUUGGGAAAUCUCACGGCUUAACUGUGAGGCGUCUAAGAGAUACUGGGAAUCUAGGGACCGGGAGAGGUAAGAGGUACUUCAGGGGUAGAAGUGAAAUUCUGUAAUCCUUGAGGGACCACCGAUGGCGAAGGCAUCUUACCAGAACGGCUUCGACAGUGAGGAACGAAAGCUGGGGGAGCGAACGGGAUUAGAUACCCCGGUAGUCCCAGCCGUAAACUAUGCGCGUUAGGUGUGCCUGUAACUACGAGUUACCGGGGUGCCGAAGUGAAAACGUGAAACGUGCCGCCUGGGAAGUACGGUCGCAAGGCUGAAACUUAAAGGAAUUGGCGGGGGAGCACCACAACGGGUGGAGCCUGCGGUUUAAUUGGACUCAACGCCGGGCAGCUCACCGGAUAGGACAGCGGAAUGAUAGCCGGGCUGAAGACCUUGCUUGACCAGCUGAGAGGAGGUGCAUGGCCGUCGUCAGUUCGUACUGUGAAGCAUCCUGUUUAGUCAGGCAACGAGCGAGACCCA